GUGGGGAAUCUUGCGCAAUGGGCGAAAGCCUGACGCAGCCAUGCCGCGUGAAUGAUGAAGGUCUUAGGAUUGUAAAAUUCUUUCACCGGGGACGAUAAUGACGGUACCCGGAGAAGAAGCUCCGGCUAACUUCGUGCCAGCAGCCGCGGUAAUACGAAGGGGGCUAGCGUUGCUCGGAAUUACUGGGCGUAAAGGGCGCGUAGGCGGACAGCUUAGUCAGAGGUGAAAGCCCAGGGCUCAACCUUGGAAUUGCCUUUGAUACUGGCUGUCUUGAGUUUGGGAGAGGUGAGUGGAACUCCGAGUGUAGAGGUGAAAUUCGUAGAUAUUCGGAAGAACACCAGUGGCGAAGGCGACUCACUGGCCCAAUACUGACGCCGAGGCGCGAAAGCGUGGGGAGCAAACAGGAUUAGAAACCCGUGUAGUCC
RNAcentral lists this ribosomal RNA (425 nucleotides) under uncultured bacterium. Its description in RNAcentral is "partial 16S ribosomal RNA". It matches the Rfam family "Bacterial small subunit ribosomal RNA", at positions 354 to 796 of the family's 1533-position model. The record is from RNAcentral.